This 579-nucleotide ribosomal RNA is filed under the name Triticum aestivum (bread wheat). Its description in RNAcentral is "partial small subunit ribosomal RNA". The record is from RNAcentral. Lineage: Eukaryota; Viridiplantae; Streptophyta; Magnoliopsida; Poales; Poaceae.
AUGCGACAGUGGUGGAGGAGUCAGCAGCGUUCCAUGGCCUUCGUCCUCCUAGUCGCAUCUUUUCUUAUAAACAGCCAGAAGAAAACGACGCACAGGCUUCAUGCUCCAUCUCCUGGUGAAGGGGAGUUAAGCUCUAGGACCACUUGGAUGUGGAUGCUCAUGCUCCUCCACUGGGCGAGCUCCAAGGGCACCACGGGGCUUGAGAUUGUCAUCUCUACCCUCGGCCGUGAGGGCCAAGAGGCUGCCUGCACCCUGCUAAAUGAAAUGCUACUUCCGACCACCAACUCGCCUGAUGCCCGUUAUUGGUUUCCUCUUGAGCAGAUGAACUACAUUGUCACAUUAAACUACGGGGACAUGUUCCCUCAGUCCUCUCUCGACAAAUCCAACAGUACAGGUUCUCCGGUGCGCCAAGUAUUGCCAGUGGCGAUGUCUGCAUCAUGGCCCAUUGAGGAGAACAUGCCAGUCAGUUGUAGGUUUUUCUAUAUGCACAUUUAUCUGUUUAGCUUUAAAUUUUGUUAUUUUCCACAUUUGACACUUGUGUUAAUGCUUCUGUGUCGUGCACUUAUGAUUCCAUUGUGA